RNAcentral lists this ribosomal RNA (114 nucleotides) under uncultured bacterium. RNAcentral's name for it is "partial 16S ribosomal RNA". It matches the Rfam family "Bacterial small subunit ribosomal RNA", at positions 1360 to 1482 of the family's 1533-position model. The record is from RNAcentral.
CGGUGAAUACGUUCCCGGACCUUGCACACACCGCCCGUCAAGUCAUGGAAGCUGGGUGUACCUAAAGUCGGUAACCGUAAGGAGCCGCCUAGGGUAAAACUAGUGACUGGGGCU